CAGCCGCCGCGGGAAUACGAAGGGUGCAAGCGUUACUCGGAAUUACUGGGCGUAAAGCGUGCGUAGGUGGUGGUUUAAGUCCGUUGUGAAAGCCCUGGGCUCAACCUGGGAAUUGCAGUGGAUACUGGGUCACUAGAGUGUGGUAGAGGAUAGUGGAAUUUCCGGUGUAGCAGUGAAAUGCGUAGAGAUCGGAAGGAACAUCUGUGGCGAAGGCGACUAUCUGGGCCAACACUGACACUAAGGCACGAAAGCGUGGGGAGCAAACAGGAUUAGAUACCCGGUAGUCCCUGUCUCUUAUACA
RNAcentral lists this ribosomal RNA (301 nucleotides) under uncultured bacterium. Its description in RNAcentral is "partial 16S ribosomal RNA". It matches the Rfam family "Bacterial small subunit ribosomal RNA", at positions 509 to 808 of the family's 1533-position model. The record is from RNAcentral.